This 577-nucleotide small RNA is filed under the name Pongo abelii (Sumatran orangutan). Its description in RNAcentral is "processed transcript". The record is from RNAcentral. Lineage: Eukaryota; Metazoa; Chordata; Mammalia; Primates; Hominidae.
AGCCAGCCCCGGGUCUCGGUCAGGACGUGCCGGCGCCUAUAAGAGCCAGUGCGCUGCGGCCGGAGCCUAUUGUUAGCCGGAGCCGGGGCGGUUCUGGGCAUCUGCUGCCGGGGGCGCCCGAGUUGCCGGAGCCGCCCGGCCCUCUCUGCCUGCCGGCUGGGCUGCCCACCGCCCUCCCUCCCCGCCCUGCCGCCCUGGGAGCUCCCCGGCCGUCGCCGCGGGGCCCGGGGCUCGCUCGCUCCUCCCUACUUCCCACCCGGGUUAGGGCGGCGGCGGCAGCGGGGGCGGCAGAGACCAUCACGGGAGGAGGCAGCUGCGGCGGGGCCGGGGUUGAGAGUGGCAGUGUGACACACAAACUGUUCUUCAGAAUGAAAUGCUAGAAGUUAUCCCCACAAGACGACACUGUCCCCUUGUCCUGCAGUUUUCAGUUCAAGGCAUUUAUCCUCUACCAAUGAAUAAUUGAGAGAGAAUCCUAAUGUACCUGGCUAGCUGGUGUUUCCAACUCAGAUGAUGAGAUCUCCAGCAGUGAUAGUGCUGACAGCUGCGACAGCCUCAAUCCGCCUACCACUGCCAGCUU